UGAAAUUCUAAGAUAAAUCUAGUUUACCAUGAAUCAUAGAUAUACUGCCAGCCAUGGUAAAUACAUGCUGUAAGACACAGCAAUCAUCGAUUUGUAUUCUUUAGCGUUAAUUGCUUUAGCUAGCCUUUGUGGGUAUAUGCUAGAGAAAAGAAACCGGACGCAGAAUCAUUCAAGAGGAAGAAACUUGAAACAUAAAAUAGCUCCUACUGA
This 210-nucleotide unclassified non-coding RNA is filed under the name Hevea brasiliensis (rubber tree). Lineage: Eukaryota; Viridiplantae; Streptophyta; Magnoliopsida; Malpighiales; Euphorbiaceae. The record is from RNAcentral.